GCUUGGGCGUGGUGGCACAUGCCUAUAAUCCUAGUUACUCAGGAGGCUGAGGCAGGAGUAUUGCAAGUUCAAGGGUAGCCUGGGCAACUUAGUGAGAUCCUGUCUCAA
RNAcentral lists this small RNA (108 nucleotides) under Marmota monax (woodchuck). Lineage: Eukaryota; Metazoa; Chordata; Mammalia; Rodentia; Sciuridae. The record is from RNAcentral.